RNAcentral lists this ribosomal RNA (406 nucleotides) under uncultured bacterium. Its description in RNAcentral is "partial 16S ribosomal RNA". It matches the Rfam family "Bacterial small subunit ribosomal RNA", at positions 30 to 526 of the family's 1533-position model. The record is from RNAcentral.
AUUGAACGCUGGCGGCAGGCCUAACACAUGCAAGUCGAGCGAGCGGCGGACGGGUGAGUAAUGUAUGGGGAACUGCCCGAUGGAGGGGGAUAACUACUGGAAACGGUGGCUAAUACCGCAUACUAUCAGAUGUGCCCAUAUGGGAUUAGCUAGUAGGUGGGGUAAAGGCUCACCUAGGCGACGAUCCCUAGCUGGUCUGAGAGGAUGACCAGCCACACUGGAACUGAGACACGGUCCAGACUCCUACGGGAGGCAGCAGUGGGGAAUAUUGCACAAUGGGCGAAAGCCUGAUGCAGCCAUGCCGCGUGUGUGAAGAAGGCCUUCGGGUUGUAAAGCACUUUCAGCGAGGAGGCGUUACUCGCAGAAGAAGCACCGGCUAACUCCGUGCCAGCAGCCGCGGUAAUUC